AGUUGAGUCCUUCGGGAUGCCAUGGCACCUUGGAUCACCGAGUUCCCCUGAUCAUCGGCUCCAUCCCUCUGCGAGAACACUUCACCAUGUUCCGGCCAGCAGGUCCUUCCCAGCCCCAGCCAUUGCCAUCAACCUCAUACCCAACACAAUGCCACCCUCAGCUCCUCCUGCUGGUUUCAAUGUGUCUCCAUAUAAUCCCAAUAUCCCACCUACACAGCCUGGAUAUGUGGCUCCCACAGCUCCAGUAUUUCCAGGGGUCCUGCAUUAUCCCGAUUUGCCUCCGCCAUCGUAUAACGAGUGCAUGUUUGGGGCGACUGGCAUUGCGGAUGACAGUGAUGAUGAGAGUGGCGGCAAGUUUGCUCCAAAAUACGCAUCUUAUAAUCUUUCAAUGGGUCUAGCAGUAGCUCCACCUCCAUAUAAUGAAUCAAUGCUUCCUCCUGAAAUGGCUGAGGGAAAUGCAGCUUUUGCCCCAGGUGUCAUGAGUGGACAACCAUAAAUAGUGAAAUUUGGAGGUGAAGGCAACUUUUCAUGUAGUUAAAGGCAUGUACAAGAGGGAGAAUUUGAAGAUGGAGAGAUAUGAAAAUUGGAGACAAGAAUAAGAAGAAAAAAAAAACAAGACAUAAAACAGUGUCUGUCUUAUGAGUUUAAAUCUAGUCCAUACAACUGAACCAAGUCCAUGAGGGCAAGCGAGUAAGUUGCCAUUACUGGACUUCUUACUUGUGUCUAUGCGGAAAACAACAAAGUGCCCCUGCUGGGAGUGGAGCCAGUUCACCAGGCAGUGACAGGCAGUGUUAUAAAUGGUCCUUAGACAGUAUUCUUGCCAGCUGCAUAGGUUUGGAUCAGAGUAGCCAUUGAAUUUUAAACCGAUCUUGCUCAGGAUACUUUUUAUUGUGCUGUUAUUGCCGUCAGUUGUAUGGAUAGGGUUCUAGAUGUGUAUUCUGUUUUUAGUUCUGACAUUCCUCUAUACAGCAUUUUGAUCUUCUUACUGGCUGAUCAUAAUAUUAAUUUUAUGCAUAUGGAUGAUUUGUACUUUUUUACAUUGACUGUAAAUCUGAGAGAAUGUUAUAUAGUUAUUGGAUUUUUAAAAUUAAUUAUUGAAAAGAUAGUUUUUUUACAUUUGUAAUGAUGAAUAUGCACACUUUGAAAUAAUAUAUUUCUUUGCUUUGGUGUAUACAAAGUGAUCCUCUGCAAGACUUUUCAUGAUUAAAAAUGAUGUAGAGAUUAUAGAAAAUUUCUAGGUCUCUGGAUUACAUUAUGUGUCAAUUUGAGAUUGAUAACCAUUAUGAGUGCCAUGCACCCAACUGUUCACUAAAUAAACACAGGAGCAAGGCUAGAGAUGAGUAAAGGUGCUUGUUUUAAAAAAUGUCUUCUCUCCUCAAAUAGUGGAGAAACAUUAAUCUAUUAGCAACAAGCAGAUUAUAUUUCUUUACCAGUACUAGACAUAUUUUCUUUAACACUGAAAUUAUAUUUAAAAAAAAUAAAUAUACAUAAAGACUCUUAACCUAUAUUGGUUUCUGGUCAGAUGUCAAAAUAUUACAUAGUCUGUAGGCAUCACUAGUGGAUUUAUUUUUUUUUGUGAUGUUAAUAUUUGAUAACAUGAAUGAGUAUUCUGUUUUAUUCCUCUGAUAACAGAAGUAUAGGGGUUAUCACACAAAAAUAAGUUUUUUGUCCAUUUUAUAUAACCUAGUAUGAAUUCUCUCAUAUAUUGUGUAUUUCCUAUCACACUGGCCUGCCUGCUUCACUAUAUACAUACAUAUAUUUGUAAAGAACAGAAAUGUCCCUUUCAAAGCUUUCAUAGAUGUGUCUACAUUAUAACAGGCCAAGAAUUAUGAUACAUAUUUUGUAUAUUGUACAUCCUCAUUUUUUGUUUGUUUUGUUUUUGUAUGUAUAAAGUUUUGCAGAAGUUAGGCAAGUAAAGUUUAGAUCUGGCUCCCCAAGUUCCCAAGAUACUGCCCCUAGGCCAGGUCUGAAGAGUAUUACUGUCUUUACUGUACUACUGUCUUUUAUUAUAAUCUUGAUGAUAAUAUGAGAAACACUGUAUGUCAGGACCUACCCAUUUAUAUGAUGAAUUAUAUUUUGAUAAGAAAAAAAGAUAACAAUCACAGUUUUUAAAAUAUAAGCACCAUACUUUUGCACUUGACUUCAA
Penaeus indicus is the source of this 2146-nucleotide RNA transcript. It is a transcript of the gene named MAPK-interacting and spindle-stabilizing protein-like, with no coding region annotated. NCBI's taxonomy places the organism in Eukaryota, Metazoa, Arthropoda, Malacostraca, Decapoda, Penaeidae. The transcript is spliced from 5 exons. The record is from RefSeq and is a predicted model, not a curated record.